CCUACGGGGGGCAGCAGUGGGGAAUAUUGGGCAAUGGAGGCAACUCUGACCCAGCAACGCCGCGUGAAUGAUGAAGGUCUUCGGAUUGUAAAGUUCUGUGAUGGGGGAUGAACACAAUGACGGUACCCCAAUAGCAAGCCACGGCUAACUACGUGCCAGCAGCCGCGGUAAUACGUAGGUGGCAAGCGUUAUCCGGAAUGACUGGGCGUAAAGGGUGCGUAGGUGGUUUAGUAAGUUGGCGGUGUAAUUCCGGGGCUCAACCUCGGCGCUACCGCCAAAACUAUUAGACUAGAGUGCAGGAGGGGUAAGUGGAAUUCCUAGUGUAGCGGUGGAAUGCGUAGAUAUCACGCAGAACCCCGAUUGCGAAGGCAGCAUACCGGCGCCCUACUGACGCUGAGGCACGAAAGUGCGGGUAUCGAACAGGAUUAGAUACCCUUGUAGUC
RNAcentral lists this ribosomal RNA (443 nucleotides) under uncultured bacterium. RNAcentral describes it as "partial 16S ribosomal RNA". It matches the Rfam family "Bacterial small subunit ribosomal RNA", at positions 338 to 795 of the family's 1533-position model. The record is from RNAcentral.